GUGCUCACUUUGGCACCACAUACACUAAAACUGGAACGAUACGGAGAAGAGUGGCAUGGCUCCUGUGCAAAUUUGGGAAGCGUUCCAUAUUUUU
Molecule: small nuclear RNA, 94 nt
Organism: Callithrix jacchus (white-tufted-ear marmoset)
Lineage: Eukaryota; Metazoa; Chordata; Mammalia; Primates; Cebidae
Source: Ensembl